UUGGGGUAUUUUUAGAGAGGUUUACGUC
This 28-nucleotide small RNA is filed under the name Bombyx mori (domestic silkworm). RNAcentral's name for it is "ovarian small RNA-38033". Lineage: Eukaryota; Metazoa; Arthropoda; Insecta; Lepidoptera; Bombycidae. The record is from RNAcentral.